RNAcentral lists this ribosomal RNA (406 nucleotides) under Parasesarma catenatum. RNAcentral's name for it is "partial 12S ribosomal RNA". Lineage: Eukaryota; Metazoa; Arthropoda; Malacostraca; Decapoda; Sesarmidae. The record is from RNAcentral.
AGAAUAUAGCAAAAACUAAAUUAAUAUUAGUUAUAUACUUUAAAAUUAAAAAAUUUGGCGGUAAUUUAAUCUUUUCAGAGGAACUUGUUUUUUAAUCGAUAACCCACGAAAAAUCUUACUUGUUUUUGUUAUAUUAAAUUCAGUUUGUAUACCAUCAUUAUCAGAUAAUUCUAAAAAGAUAAAUUAUCAAAUAAAAUUAAUUAUUAAAAUUAGAUCAUGGUGCAGCUUAUAAACAAGUUUAAAUGAGUUACAAUAAAUUACUUUAAUAAACGGAUUAAUAAAAAAAAAUUAUUAUGAAGGUGGAUUUGAUAGUAUUAUAAUUUUAAUAAGUUUAUGAGAAAUUGGCUCUAAAUUAUGUACAUAUCGCCCGUCGCUUUCAUUUAUAAAUGAAAUAAGUCGUAACAUA